UAGUCCACGCUGUAAACGAUGAAUGUUAGUCGUCGGACUUCGAGUUCGGUGAUACAGCUAACGCGUUAAACAUUCCGCCUGGGGAGUACGGUCGCAAGAUUAAAACUCAAAGGAAUUGACGGGGACCCGCACAAGCGGUGGAGCAUGUGGUUUAAUUCGAUGCUACGCGAAGAACCUUACCACCUUUUGACAUCUUGAUCGCGGAUUGCAUAAUAGCAAUCUUUCAGUUCGGCUGGAUCAAUGACAGGUGUUGCAUGGCUGUCGUCAGCUCGUGUCGUGAGAUGUUGGAUUAAGUCCCGCAACGAGCGCAACCCUCGUCCUUAGUUGCCAUCAUUUAGUUGGGCACUUUAAGGAAACUGCCGGUGAUAAGCCGGAGGAAGGUGGGGAUGACGUCAAGUCCUCAUGGGCCCUUACAGGGCUGGGGCUACACACGUGCUACAAUGGCAUCUACAGUGAGCAGCGAUCCCGCGAGGGUUA
RNAcentral lists this ribosomal RNA (477 nucleotides) under uncultured bacterium. RNAcentral's name for it is "bacterial SSU rRNA". It matches the Rfam family "Bacterial small subunit ribosomal RNA", at positions 791 to 1266 of the family's 1533-position model. The record is from RNAcentral.